GGAAAAUCUGAUGUGCCAAGAAGUGUUCCAUACCAUUCUGAGAACUCUGGAUACCUGCUCAGACAGCUCUGUUUCAGCUAAACAGUAACAUCUGGGAGGGAAGCUUAAUGUGGAAUCAAGGAUGAAGUUUAACACAGGAAUGAGAAGUAGAGCACAUAGCUGCUAAGAUAAGAAUGUAAUCAUCGCAAGGCCAGGAGAUGCGUUUGGUCUGUGCUGCAUCUCAAGCAGGACAAUGGCUGGAACAUAGUAGGGUCUCCAAAAAUGUUUGUUGAACGUUGCUGAUGGCGGCAUCCUGGAGUAGGAAAAAGACUGAAGAGUGGAAAAAGAAAUCCUGACAUGAAUUCUGGGCAAAGGCAAGCAGUAGCUGACUUGGAAAAUGAUUACACUAUAGAUGGCAGCACACCACUACCUACGAUCCGAUCACCAGCCUGGGUUUGUAAGUCAGAGCUGUUGGUCAGGAGAUGGCAGCUAAUGAGUAAUCAGUCCAAACUGAAUGGCAAAUUAAUGUCUUCAUUAAGUGAACAAACCAGCUUCCUCCAUAAACAAGGUCAGAG
This 554-nucleotide long non-coding RNA is filed under the name Homo sapiens (human). RNAcentral's name for it is "non-protein coding BACH1-IT1:3". The record is from RNAcentral. Lineage: Eukaryota; Metazoa; Chordata; Mammalia; Primates; Hominidae.